This 275-nucleotide ribosomal RNA is filed under the name uncultured bacterium. RNAcentral's name for it is "partial 16S ribosomal RNA". It matches the Rfam family "Bacterial small subunit ribosomal RNA", at positions 399 to 691 of the family's 1533-position model. The record is from RNAcentral.
GCGUGGACGAUGAAGGCCUUAGGGUUGUAAAGUCCUUUCGCCGGGGAAGAUAAUGACGGUACCCGGUAAAGAAGCCCCGGCUAACUCCGUGCCAGCAGCCGCGGUAAUACGGAGGGGGCUAGCGUUGUUCGGAAUUACUGGGCGUAAAGCGCACGUAGGCGGAUCAGUCAGUCAGGGGUGAAAUCCCGGGGCUCAACCCCGGAACUGCCUUUGAUACUGCUGGUCUGGAGGAUGGGAGAGGCGAGUGGAAUUCCGAGUGUAGAGGUGAAAUUCGU